RNAcentral lists this ribosomal RNA (462 nucleotides) under uncultured bacterium. RNAcentral describes it as "bacterial SSU rRNA". It matches the Rfam family "Bacterial small subunit ribosomal RNA", at positions 338 to 790 of the family's 1533-position model. The record is from RNAcentral.
CCUAAGGAAGGCAGCAGUAGGGAAUAUUGCACAAUGGGGGAAACCCAGAUGCAGGCAUGCCGCGUGUGUGAAGACAGCCCUAGGGUUGUAAAGCACUUUCGGUGGUGAAGAAAGCCGGCGCGCUAAUACCGCGAUCCGGGUAGACGUUAACCAUUAAAGAAGCACCGGCUAACUCCGUGCCAGCAGCCGCGGUAAUACGGAGGGUGCAAACGUUAAUCGGAAUUACUGGGCGUAAAGCGCACGUAGGCGGAUAGUCAAGUGGGACGUGAAAGCCCCCGGCUCAACCGGGGAAUUGCGUUUCAAACUGGCUGUCUAGAGUGUAGUAGAGGAAAGUGGAAUUUGCUGUGUAGCGGUGAAAUGCGUAGAUAUGGCAAGGAACAUCAGUGGCGAAGGCGGCUUUCUGGACUAACACUGACGCUGAGGUGCGAAAGCGUGGGUAGCGAACAGGAUUAGAUACCCUGG